GUGUGAUAGCAAAUGUGGCUUCUGCACCAGACACGUGCCAACUGCCAUCCAGAUACCAGGCCCCGGGCUGCCAGGAUGGAGACUGUCACUUCCCUUGGCAAGGGACCCACUGCCGGGUGGGCAGGGUAUUAAGACUCAGUGGACUUCUGAAACAAUCACCACCCUAGCCUAUGGCCUGUUUACAGUCUUUAGUUUGGGACAGGCCACAGCCUGAUGCCAAGCAUGUGGUAAAGCAGUCUCGAUGCCACCUGUCCUGAAGGCUGUUCCAUCGUAAGAGCCCUGGAGGAGCCGCCACCCUCAGUCCCACACCAUCUCCUGGACCCACUCCAAGCUGUUUUCAGAAGCACGUCCUACUCAAUCAGAAACUCAAAAGUCCGGAGUGUGAUCCCGCUCUACCCCCGACUCUCCUCCCUGCAGCACCGAGAAGGACCAUCGCAAGGGUGAGGCACAUGGGAAUACAAAGAACCAGUAUGGAAGCGCUGGACAUGUCAUUUGUGACUCAUUCUUUUAAUUCACCGUGCUAAUCAACUGAACCGCCACAGCCUCCCAAGGUGAGAAGCCCCACAAAGGGAGAGAGGUACCGAAGGUCACACAGCCACGGGGGCUGCCCCAUCCACGGCUUCAUACGCCAUCUCAAACAAAGAUGUGGAAACUGCAUAUCCAGCUAAACCCACAGGCCAAGGGGGCUUUGUCUGUCUUUCCACAGACCCCUGCCCUCUCUGUACAGUCCUCCCGUGCCCUCAUGAGCACCUCCUGGUGGGGAGGAGGCCUCUACCGCUUUCCCGCAGAAGCUGGAGCUGUGAACUCACCGGUGUAGACAAAGCGCCCAGGAGCACCUUUGCAGAACUGCUUGGAUUUGUAGGAGAGGGUCACUUCGACGACGCCAGGAAUGUGCCUCGGCGGGGUCUGGACUCGGAUGGCAUGGGGAGUUAUCAGCUACAAAAACCACACGGUGAACAGGCGCUCAGCGGCGCUGGCUAUGAGAGGCGGACACUUGCCAGUUGGAUAUAAUUACCAAAAUGAGCACAAAUUGGACCAUCGUCUUGGAAUGCC
RNAcentral lists this long non-coding RNA (1053 nucleotides) under Homo sapiens (human). RNAcentral's name for it is "EBF3 antisense RNA 1 (EBF3-AS1)". The record is from RNAcentral. Lineage: Eukaryota; Metazoa; Chordata; Mammalia; Primates; Hominidae.